GCCCACGUAGCUCAGUCGGAAGAGCACGCCCUUGGUAAGGGCGAGGUCAGCAGUUCGAUCCUGCUCGUGGGCU
RNAcentral lists this transfer RNA (73 nucleotides) under Chloroflexota bacterium. RNAcentral's name for it is "Chloroflexi bacterium (groundwater metagenome) tRNA-Thr". Lineage: Bacteria; Bacillati; Chloroflexota. The record is from RNAcentral.